ACGAACGCUGGCGGCGUGCUUAACACAUGCAAGUCGAACGCGCCUGUCCUCUGGGUUUCUGGGGGGUGGGUGAGUGGCGAACGGGUGAGUAACACGUGAGUAACCUGCCCCCUUCUUCGGGAUAACGGUCUGAAAGGGCUGCUAAUACCGGGUAUUCACUGGUCUCCGCAUGGGGUCUGGUGGAAAGGUUUUUUUCUGGUGGGGGAUGGGCUCGCGGCCUAUCAGCUUGUUGGUGGGGUGAUGGCCCACCAAGGCUUUGACGGGUAGCCGGCCUGAGAGGGUGACCGGUCACAUUGGGACGGAGAUACGGCCCAGACUCCUACGGGAGGCAGCAGUGGGGAAUAUUGCACAAUGGGCGCAAGCCUGAUGCAGCGACGCCGCGUGAGGGAUGGAGGCCUUCGGGUUGUGAACCUCUUUCGCCCGUGGUCAAGCCGCGACGUGGGUCGUGGUGAGGGUAGUGGGUAAAGAAGCGCCGGCUAACUACGUG
This 487-nucleotide ribosomal RNA is filed under the name uncultured bacterium. RNAcentral's name for it is "partial 16S ribosomal RNA". It matches the Rfam family "Bacterial small subunit ribosomal RNA", at positions 29 to 507 of the family's 1533-position model. The record is from RNAcentral.